RNAcentral lists this ribosomal RNA (457 nucleotides) under uncultured bacterium. RNAcentral describes it as "partial 16S ribosomal RNA". It matches the Rfam family "Bacterial small subunit ribosomal RNA", at positions 338 to 795 of the family's 1533-position model. The record is from RNAcentral.
CCUACGGGCGGCAGCAGUGGGGAAUAUUGCACAAUGGGCGCAAGCCCGAUGCAGCGACGCCGCGUGCGGGAUGGAGGCCUUCGGGUUGUAAACCGCUUUUGUUCAAGGGCAAGGCACGGUCUUUGGCCGUGUUGAGUGGAUUGUUCGAAUAAGCACCGGCUAACUCCGUGCCAGCAGCCGCGGUAAUACGGAGGAUGCGAGCGUUAUCCGGAUUUAUUGGGGUAAAAGGGUGCGCAGGCGGAAGAUCAAGUCAGCGGUAAAAUUGAGAGGCUCAACCUCUUCGAGCCGUUGAGACUGGUUUUCUUGAGUGAGUGAGAAGGAUGCGGAAUGCGUGGUGUAGCGGUGAAAUGCAUAGAUAUCACGCAGAACUCCGAUUGCGAAGGCAGCAUACCGGCGCUCAACUGACGCUCAUGCACGAAAGUGUGGGUAUCGAACAGGAUUAGAUACCCCAGUAGUC